CAAUACACACAACUGAUCCUUUAUCUCUGUUGCCUGAAGCCCUAGUCCACCAUAUCAUAUUCUUUCUACAGCUAAGAGGUGGAUCGUAUCUCCAUUUUAUCCAAGUCAUGGCACCAAUUCUGGAAUUCCCUCCCAACCCAAAUUUCCGAUUCUCCUACGGCGGAAGGGAGGAUUCUUAUGCUACUGACAAGUUCAUCAAAUUCGUCGAUGAUUCUUUGCACAAUCUCCGCCGUUGCCACCUAGCAAAAGUCAAAGCGUUCUCCUUAUUUUUACCCUAUUAUCAACAACAACUGUAUUCUUGCAUGGAUGAUUGGAUCGGAUUAGUCACCGAGAAUUACAUUGAAGAGAUAAAUAUUUCCAUCUUGCCCUUCGCUUGAGCAAUUUUCUCUUUUAUCAUCUCGAAGUGUGAAUCUUUGUAUUCCAAAUCUUCCCAAGCUCAAGAAGGUAGAAGCAGAUAUAUUGGGUAAAAUUCAGAUUGAAGCAGUGAAUCUUCAAGUUCUUCAUUGUGUAUGCUUUCAAAAUGAAUUAGAGCUGAAUGGACUUCACUGUAAUAAUCUAGAGAAGUUGAGACUAUCUGCCCCCAUUACGAAGAAAUGGAUUCAGGAACUUUUUUAUAAAUUCCAUUUUCUUGAGAAAUUACACUUGCAUUCUUUUCAAUCCUGCAUAAGGGUUUUUAUUUCAAGCCAUAAACUUAAGAGAUUAUGCCGU
Molecule: long non-coding RNA, 708 nt
Filed under: Manihot esculenta (cassava)
Lineage: Eukaryota; Viridiplantae; Streptophyta; Magnoliopsida; Malpighiales; Euphorbiaceae
Description: long non-coding RNA (MESC_LNC006360)
Source: RNAcentral